GCAUUUCCUUUUUGACUUGCCUUAGGGAGAGGGAGACCAGCGGAGGCUGGGGGCUGUUGGACUCAUCAAUCUGAGUGCAAUGCAAGCCUUUCGGUACUGAGAAAACUACUCUGUGACCUCUGCUGUGAAGGACUUUCCUUGCUCCCUCCAAAGGAUUUAAUUCAUUUCCAAAGCAACGCAACAAAAAGGCCUCUUGUGGAUACACACACACUGAUUCUUUUAAAGUCAGUUGAUUUGUGGCAUGUGCUGACAAACUGAAGAGAUGCAUUUAUGACAUUUCCGAGGAAGAAUUACUGAGCAUAAGGGUGAAGGAUUAAAGGCAUAGGCCAGCUUUGCUCACACAACUCUGCGGAUAAAAUUAAGUCCUAACCUGCAGCCCUCAAUCCUAUUCUUGUGUUGGCCACGUUCCUCUGUGAUUGCUACUCCAUCCUGACCAGCAGCAACUUUUGCUAUGGCAGUAAUACACCUCUCUUGUUCAGAAACUGACGUGGGCUUGCUGAUGCCAAAAUUGGCCUUUUGGUUAGCCAAGUUGGGUUGGCUUUGUGACACGGCAAAUGUUGGCUAAGGACUAGACCGAGACUGCAGCAUUCAUUUGGGGCUAUUAUCAGUGGACAGCAAUGAGAUCCGCUCCACGCAACAAACCUACAACAUUGUCGAGACUUUUCUCAUACAACUGUUCUCUUUUCACGUAAGACAUAGUUUACAACAGACGGUAUCUGGGAAGCAGGGCUUUGAUUCAGAGAGAGCCUUGUGUAUAGGAAUUAAAGUCCAGCAUAUAGCAGGUGAAUACUGGAACCAAGAUGAUAUUGCUCUUAAGGGAUUUUGACACUUUAACACAGACUCUGAUUCCAAAAAAUCCAUGAAUAGACUCCCAUUAAUGACAAAACUCCCUUUGACGUCAACUAGUUUUGGACUUAAUGAGUGGAACUAUGCUAGCAUUUGUUCUAGCAUGUAAGUACAUUUAGAAGUAAACAACCGAG
This 980-nucleotide long non-coding RNA is filed under the name Gopherus agassizii (Agassiz's desert tortoise). RNAcentral's name for it is "lncRNA (ENSGAGG00000009310.1)". Lineage: Eukaryota; Metazoa; Chordata; Testudines; Testudinidae. The record is from RNAcentral.